CCUGGCGGCCUUAGCGCGGUGGUCCCACCUGACCCCAUGCCGAACUCAGAAGUGAAACGCCGUAGCGCCGAUGGUAGUGUGGGUUCUCCCCAUGCGAGAGUAGGGAACUGCCAGGC
Molecule: ribosomal RNA, 116 nt
Filed under: Escherichia coli
Lineage: Bacteria; Pseudomonadati; Pseudomonadota; Gammaproteobacteria; Enterobacterales; Enterobacteriaceae
Source: RNAcentral